GAUGAACGCUGGCGGCGUGCCUAAUACAUGCAAGUCGAGCGAACGGACGAGAAGCUUGCUUCUCUGAUGUUAGCGGCGGACGGGUGAGUAACACGUGGAUAACCUACCUAUAAGACUGGGAUAACUUCGGGAAACCGGAGCUAAUACCGGAUAAUAUUUUGAACCGCAUGGUUCAAAAGUGAAAGACGGUCUUGCUGUCACUUAUAGAUGGAUCCGCGCUGCAUUAGCUAGUUGGUAAGGUAACGGCUUACCAAGGCAACGAUGCAUAGCCGACCUGAGAGGGUGAUCGGCCACCCUGGAACUGAGACACGGUCCAGACCCCCACGGGAGGCAGCAGGAGGGAAUCUUCCGAAAGGGGCGAAAGCCUGACGGAGCAACGCCGGUGGAGUGAUGAAGUGCUUCGGAUCGUAAAACUCUUUUAUUAGGGAAAAACAAAUUUGUAAGUAACGGUGCACAUCUUGACGGUACCAAAGCAGAAAGCCACGGCUAACUACGG
Molecule: ribosomal RNA, 496 nt
Filed under: uncultured bacterium
Lineage: Bacteria
Description: partial 16S ribosomal RNA
Rfam family: Bacterial small subunit ribosomal RNA
Source: RNAcentral